ACUUGCAAUCCCAAUUCUUUGAUCUAUGGGAACCUUGUACACUUCAAAGUAUUUCACACAUUUUCUAAGCCAAACCUUAGGUUCUUUCCCAUCGAAAGCAAUUAAUUCAAUCUUAGGCAAGAAUGGAUUCAUACUGACGAAAGAAACUAAUAUUUGAGGGAAUUUUUUGUAUAUUUCUUAAUGAUGAAAAAUGAUAUACAAG
Molecule: unclassified non-coding RNA, 202 nt
Filed under: Hevea brasiliensis (rubber tree)
Lineage: Eukaryota; Viridiplantae; Streptophyta; Magnoliopsida; Malpighiales; Euphorbiaceae
Source: RNAcentral